GUUCUGUAAACAUUUUUUUUUAUAAAUAUUUUAACCAGAAUUUCUAAGUUGCAGUUUACAAGUAUUAUAGAGCAUUACCAUUAUGGGGAUAAGCAUGGUUAAAGAAGUUAUUAUAUGCUGCUGUAAGACUCGUAGCAGAUGGCAGCUGUAGUGCUGGGCAGGGUCCAACAAAAACAAUGUGAAGAAACCACAAAACCACACACAGCAAUAUACAAAGCAGGAUGGAAAUUUUGGAGACCUGCGGUUAAGGGAUGCCAAAGCAAGCCUUUGUUACCAUAGAAACAGAAACGCAGUAUGCCUCCACAAUAAGGCACCCAGCAAACCGUUCCCAAGAGUAUGAUGACAGUCAGAUUAAGUGUGCGUCACCUCUGUACUCAUUCGUG
This is a long non-coding RNA of Erpetoichthys calabaricus (reedfish), 383 nucleotides long. RefSeq lists it as uncharacterized. The record is from RefSeq and is a predicted model, not a curated record. NCBI's taxonomy places the organism in Eukaryota, Metazoa, Chordata, Cladistia, Polypteriformes, Polypteridae. The transcript has 3 exons.